UCCUAGGUGGCUUAGAUGGUAAAGAAUCUGCUUGCAAUGCAGGAGAGCUAGGUUUGAUUCCUGGAGGAG
Molecule: transfer RNA, 69 nt
Filed under: Bos taurus (domestic cattle)
Lineage: Eukaryota; Metazoa; Chordata; Mammalia; Artiodactyla; Bovidae
Also listed under: 5 other names
Rfam family: tRNA
About the family: Transfer RNA (tRNA) molecules are approximately 80 nucleotides in length. Their secondary structure includes four short double-helical elements and three loops (D, anti-codon, and T loops).
Source: Rfam by way of RNAcentral